AUGGAGGGUCUUAUGAAGUUGUUGUGUCUUGUUGGUUUUGUAGUCCUUGUUGCAGGGAUAUAUGGAGUUGAAAGUGCAGGUGAAUGUGGAAGGGGUACAACACCAGAUAAUGAAGCUUUUAAGCUAGCUCCUUGUGCUAAUGCAGCAUCUGAUGAAGAUGCAAAUGUGUCUCAAAGCUGUUGUGCUCAGGUUAAGAAACUUGGUCAGAAUCCAGGUUGUCUUUGUGCAGUUAUGUUAUCAAACGUUGCUAAAAUGUCGGGUGCUGACCCUAAAGUUGCUGUUACUAUCCCUAAACGUUGCAAUAUUGCUGAUCGUCCUGUCGGUUACAAGUGUGGACCUUAUACACUUCCUUGA
This 354-nucleotide long non-coding RNA is filed under the name Vicia faba (fava bean). The record is from RNAcentral. Lineage: Eukaryota; Viridiplantae; Streptophyta; Magnoliopsida; Fabales; Fabaceae.